Molecule: ribosomal RNA, 880 nt
Filed under: uncultured Neocallimastigales
Lineage: Eukaryota; Fungi; Neocallimastigomycota; Neocallimastigomycetes; Neocallimastigales
Description: partial large subunit ribosomal RNA
Rfam family: Eukaryotic large subunit ribosomal RNA (bases 97-880)
Source: RNAcentral
CUAUACAUGACUCUGCGCAUAUCAAUAAGCGGAGGAAAAGCUGCUGACUGAACGACCGCUACCUACGCUUAGGAUGUUGACAGCAGUAUAGACUGUAGAUCUCAUCUAUACAUGACUCUGCGCAUAUCAAUAAGCGGAGGAAAAGAAACUAACAAGGAUUCCCUUAGGUAACGGCGAGUGAAGCGGGAAGAGCUCAAAUUUGAAAUCUUCAAGGUUUUACCUUGACGAAUUGUAGUUUAAAGAAGUGUUUUCUGCUGAAGUUUUGGUAAAAGUUCUUUGGAAUAGGACAUCAUAGAGGGUGAGAAUCCCGUAUUUGACCAUUAUUUUCAGCUUUGUGAUACACUUUCAAAGAGUCGGAUUGUUUGGGAAUGCAGUCCAAAAUGGGUGGUAAAUUUCAUCUAAAGCUAAAUAUUGGCGAGAGACCGAUAGCGAACAAGUACCGUGAGGGAAAGAUGAAAAGAACCUUGAAAAGAGAGUUAAACAGUACGUGAAAUUGUCAAAAGGGAAGCGUUUGACACCAGUGUUGUUUUUCUGAAAAUCAAUUAAAGAACUGUUUAUGCUAAGUUGUUUAGACUUUAUCAGCUAACUGUUUAGUUUUGAGCUUUUCUUUAAUGCACUUUUCAGUUAACAAGUCAACAUCAAUUUCUUUUGCUGUAAAAAAGCUUGAGGAAGGUGGCUUGAGAUUCGUCUUAAGUGUUUAUAGCCUCUUGCCUAUGCAGUCGGAGAGAUUGAGGUCUGCAGCGUAGAUCCUUCGGGGCUAAAUGCAUUUGUGCUAAGUUAUAGCAUUUUAUAGACAACUUGUUGACUAUGAUUUGUCUUGUAGCUUACUCGCUUAUGUUAUUUUACCUACGCUUAGGAUGUUGACAGCAGUAUAGACUGU